GAUGAACGCUGGCGGCGUGCUUAACACAUGCAAGUCGAACGAAGCACUUUAUUUUAUUUCCUUCGGGACUGAUUAUUUUGUGACUGAGUGGCGGACGGGUGAGUAACGCGUGGGUAACCUGCCUUGUACAGGGGGAUAACAGUUGGAAACGGCUGCUAAUACCGCAUAAGCGCACAGCAUCUCAUGAUGCAGUGUGAAAAACUCCGGUGGUAUAAGAUGGACCCGCGUUGGAUUAGCUAGUUGGUGAGGUAACGGCCCACCAAGGCGACGAUGCAUAGCCGACCUGAGAGGGUGACCGGCCACAUUGGGACUGAGACACGGCCCAAACUCCUACGGGAGGCAGCAGUGGGGAAUAUUGCACAAUGGGCGAAAGCCUGAUGCAGCGACGCCGCGUAAGAGAAGAAGUAUUUCGGUAUGUAAAGCUCUAUCAGCAGGGAAGAUAAUGACGGUACCUGACGAAGAAGCACCGGCUAAAUACGUG
This 481-nucleotide ribosomal RNA is filed under the name uncultured bacterium. RNAcentral describes it as "partial 16S ribosomal RNA". It matches the Rfam family "Bacterial small subunit ribosomal RNA", at positions 28 to 507 of the family's 1533-position model. The record is from RNAcentral.